Molecule: ribosomal RNA, 265 nt
Filed under: uncultured bacterium
Lineage: Bacteria
Description: partial 16S ribosomal RNA
Rfam family: Bacterial small subunit ribosomal RNA
Source: RNAcentral
GUCCACGCCGUAAACGAUGAUAACUAGCUGUCCGGGCACUUGGUGCUUGGGUGGCGCAGCUAACGCAUUAAGUUAUCCGCCUGGGGAGUACGGCCGCAAGGUUAAACUCAAAGAAAUUGACGGGGCCUGCACAAGCGGUGGAGCAUGUGGUUUAAUUCGAAGCAACGCGCAGAACCUUACCAACGUUUGACAUGUCCAGUAUGGUUAGUGGAGACACUUUCCUUCAGUUCGGCUGGCUGGAACACAGGUGCUGCAUGGCUGUCGU